This 540-nucleotide long non-coding RNA is filed under the name Lactuca sativa (garden lettuce). Its description in RNAcentral is "long non-coding RNA (LSAT_LNC009312)". The record is from RNAcentral. Lineage: Eukaryota; Viridiplantae; Streptophyta; Magnoliopsida; Asterales; Asteraceae.
UUUGUUUGUUUCUUAUUCCACGAGCUUAUAAUGGCACGAUACAUGGCAAUUGGUGUGUUUAAUAUGGUGCUUCUCGUAGCCCUCGUCUUAUCAGGUAUUGAUUUGAGUUAUUAUUAUCUCUCAUGGGUCAAAUUAGUGAAGUAAAAACAUGGUUAAUCAUUUGUGUCAAACAUGUUAAUAAUCCAUUCAAAUGCAUAAUCGUUAUGAUUCUAACAAUAUAUAACACAUUAAUUAUUUAUAGAAUUCAAAAGAAAUUAUCAAAAAGCGUUUGAAGCCCUAAUAUGUACUCUUUUACCUAAUGUUGCAGUCGAAAUGAUGACACCAACAAUGGGUCGUAAAGCAUGCUCUGAAUUAAUACCGAUGCAGCCGAAUUGGUGUGAUGGGCCUCGAGUAUCAGUGGACUGCUGGGAUGCUUGUGGGGAAAGGCAUAAUCCGUAUAUUGCAGCAGAAUGUUUCCAUGAAGGACUACUUCCUGGAAAUAUUAACGUUUGUAAAUGUUAUUGGGAAUGUUAGAUAAUGAUGUUUUUAUUUGGAUGAGAC